CAGCCGCCGCGGGAAUACGAAGGGGGCUAGCGUUGUUCGGAAUUACUGGGCGUAAAGCGCACGUAGGCGGACUUUUAAGUCAGGGGUGAAAUCCCGGGGCUCAACCUCGGAACUGCCUUUGAUACUGGAAGUCUUGAGUAUGGAAGAGGUAAGUGGAAUUGCGAGUGUAGAGGUGAAAUUCGUAGAUAUUCGCAGGAACACCAGUGGCGAAGGCGGCUUACUGGUCCAUUACUGACGCUGAGGUGCGAAAGCGUGGGGAGCAAACAGGAUUAGAUACCCCUGUAGUCCCUGUCUCUUAUAC
RNAcentral lists this ribosomal RNA (301 nucleotides) under uncultured bacterium. Its description in RNAcentral is "partial 16S ribosomal RNA". It matches the Rfam family "Bacterial small subunit ribosomal RNA", at positions 509 to 807 of the family's 1533-position model. The record is from RNAcentral.